AACCAUUCUCACCUGCGGCUAGACCUGCGGAAGGAUCAUUAACAAAUUCAUCUUUUGAUGACCCCUACCUUGUGUGCACUUGUAACUAAAAAUUGGCCCUUUGGAGUAAAAGGUUUGGAUGCCACCUUUUUUCCAAAGGGUUUUUUUUUUAUAAACGUCUUUUUUGAACAAGUAAAAACAAAAUUUAAAUUAAUAAAUACAACUUUUAGCAACGGAUCU
RNAcentral lists this unclassified non-coding RNA (219 nucleotides) under soil metagenome. RNAcentral's name for it is "partial contains 5.8S ribosomal RNA, internal transcribed spacer 2, and large subunit ribosomal RNA". The record is from RNAcentral.